GGGGGCAUAGCUCAGCUGGGAGAGCACCUGCUUUGCAAGCAGGGGGUCGUCUGUUCGAUCCCGUCUGCCUCCACCA
RNAcentral lists this transfer RNA (76 nucleotides) under Burkholderia pseudomallei MSHR1328. RNAcentral describes it as "tRNA-Ala". It matches the Rfam family "tRNA". From Rfam's summary of the family: Transfer RNA (tRNA) molecules are approximately 80 nucleotides in length. Lineage: Bacteria; Pseudomonadati; Pseudomonadota; Betaproteobacteria; Burkholderiales; Burkholderiaceae. The record is from RNAcentral.